RNAcentral lists this transfer RNA (17 nucleotides) under Equus zebra (mountain zebra). RNAcentral's name for it is "partial tRNA-Pro". Lineage: Eukaryota; Metazoa; Chordata; Mammalia; Perissodactyla; Equidae. The record is from RNAcentral. RNAcentral also lists the same sequence under 2 other names.
CAAGGAAUAGUUUAAGU